Molecule: ribosomal RNA, 373 nt
Filed under: uncultured bacterium
Lineage: Bacteria
Description: bacterial SSU rRNA
Rfam family: Bacterial small subunit ribosomal RNA
Source: RNAcentral
UACGUAGGGGGCGAGCGUUAUCCGGAAUUAUUGGGCGUAAAGAGUACGUAGGCGGUUUCGUAAGCGCAAGGUGAAAGGCAGUGGCUCAACCAUUGUAAGCCUUGCGAACUGUGAGACUUGAGUUCAGGAGAGGAAAGCGGAAUUCCUAGUGUAGCGGUGAAAUGCGUAGAUAUUAGGAGGAACACCAGUGGCGAAGGCGGCUUUCUGGACUGAAACUGACGCUGAGGUACGAAAGCGUGGGGAGCAAACAGGAUUAGAUACCCUGGUAGUCCACGCCGUAAACGAUGAGCACUAGGUGUCGGGCUCGCGAGAGUUCGGUGCCGUAGUUAACGCAUUAAGUGCUCCGCCUGGGGAGUACGCACGCAAGUGUGAA